CCGAAUGGGGAAACCCAGUGUGUUUCGUCACACUAUCAUUAACUGAAUCCAUAGGUUAAUGAGGCGAACCGGGGGAACUGAAACAUCUAAGUACCCCGAGGAAAAGAAAUCAACCGAGAUUCCCCCAGUAGCGGCGAGCGAACGGGGAGCAGCCCAGAGCCUGAAUCAGUGUGUGUGUUAGUGGAAGCGUCUGGAAAGGCGCGCGAUACAGGGUGACAGCCCCGUACACAAAAAUGCACAUGCUGUGAGCUCGAUGAGUAGGGC
Molecule: ribosomal RNA, 264 nt
Filed under: Escherichia coli
Lineage: Bacteria; Pseudomonadati; Pseudomonadota; Gammaproteobacteria; Enterobacterales; Enterobacteriaceae
Description: partial 23S ribosomal RNA
Rfam family: Bacterial large subunit ribosomal RNA
Source: RNAcentral